ACCACCAGCACAGGUCUUGAAUUACAAAAGUUCAACUCGAACAACUCUUAAGAAUCGAAUUUGAAGUAUGGUGGACUCCAUUGAGAGUGUGAAGACCUGACCCAGGCCAUCCGGGAGCCUGACAGAGCCUGGAUGUCACCCUUGGAAUUUUUAAUCGUGCUUAAAACUUGAUCAGAUAGUUUGACAAAUGCUGCGUAGGCCCCUAGAAAGUGGUAAGCCCUCUGCUGGCUCUGAGGAUUAUAAAGAAAGCAGUUAAUGAGAAUUAUGUAAUCCAGGAUGUUUUACAUUUUGCCUUAGCUGCUACCAGGAAGCUCAGAGCUAUAUUGUACCCAUAAGGAGACAACUCUAAGAACCAAGCCAGUAAGCUGAGGAUGACAGAGCAAAAAAGAUGGAGGAGGCUGUGUCCUUGAAGUCAAUCUUGAAAACUUCCAAAUUCU
Long non-coding RNA from Zalophus californianus (California sea lion), 437 nucleotides. RefSeq lists it as uncharacterized. The transcript has 3 exons. The record is from RefSeq and is a predicted model, not a curated record. NCBI's taxonomy places the organism in Eukaryota, Metazoa, Chordata, Mammalia, Carnivora, Otariidae.